GAAAUAUUUUAUAUUAAGCUUCUAACUUAAUUUUAGUGGUUAAUUCCAUUAAUAUUUCUUAUUUAUUUUUU
This 71-nucleotide transfer RNA is filed under the name Euploea core. Its description in RNAcentral is "tRNA-Ser". The record is from RNAcentral. Lineage: Eukaryota; Metazoa; Arthropoda; Insecta; Lepidoptera; Nymphalidae.